AGGGAAUCUUCCGCAAUGGACGAAAGUCUGACGGAGCAACGCCGCGUGAGUGAAGAAGGUUUUCGGAUUGUAAAGCUCUGUCAUCUGGGACGAUAAUGACGGUACCAGAUGAGGAAGCCACGGCUAACUACGUGCCAGCAGCCGCGGUAAUACGUAGGUGGCAAGCGUUGUCCGGAUUUACUGGGCGUAAAGGGAGCGUAGGUGGAUAUUUAAGUGGGAUGUGAAAUACUCGGGCUUAACCUGGGUGCUGCAUUCCAAACUGGAUAUCUAGAGUGCAGGAGAGGAAAGUAGAAUUCCUAGUGUAGCGGUGAAAUGCGUAGAGAUUAGGAAGAAUACCAGUGGCGAAGGCGACUUUCUGGACUGUAACUGACACUGAGGCUCGAAAGCGUGGGGAGCAAAC
RNAcentral lists this ribosomal RNA (400 nucleotides) under uncultured bacterium. Its description in RNAcentral is "bacterial SSU rRNA". It matches the Rfam family "Bacterial small subunit ribosomal RNA", at positions 356 to 773 of the family's 1533-position model. The record is from RNAcentral.